This 76-nucleotide transfer RNA is filed under the name uncultured archaeon. Its description in RNAcentral is "tRNA-Glu(ctc)". It matches the Rfam family "tRNA". From Rfam's summary of the family: Transfer RNA (tRNA) molecules are approximately 80 nucleotides in length. Their secondary structure includes four short double-helical elements and three loops (D, anti-codon, and T loops). Further hydrogen bonds mediate the characteristic L-shaped molecular structure. tRNAs have two regions of fundamental functional importance: the anti-codon, which is responsible for specific mRNA codon recognition, and the 3' end, to which the tRNAs corresponding amino acid is attached (by aminoacyl-tRNA synthetases). tRNAs cope with the degeneracy of the genetic code in two manners: having more than one tRNA (with a specific anti-codon) for a particular amino acid; and 'wobble' base-pairing, i.e. permitting non-standard base-pairing at the 3rd anti-codon position. The record is from RNAcentral.
UGCUCCGAUCAUCUAAUUGGUUAAGGAAACGGGCCCCUCAGGUUCGUAAUCUGGGUUCAAAUCCCAGCCGGAGCAU